Molecule: ribosomal RNA, 497 nt
Filed under: uncultured bacterium
Lineage: Bacteria
Description: bacterial SSU rRNA
Rfam family: Bacterial small subunit ribosomal RNA
Source: RNAcentral
ACUCAAAGGAAUUGACGGGGGCCCGCACAAGCGGUGGAGCAUGUGGUUUAAUUCGACGCAACGCGAAGAACCUUACCAAGGCUUGACAUCCCUCUGCCCGGACUUUAAUCGGUCCUUUUCUUCGGAACAGAGGAGACAGGUGGUGCAUGGUUGUCGUCAGCUCGUGUCGUGAGAUGUUGGGUUAAGUCCCGCAACGAGCGCAACCCUUGCAUCUAGUUGCCAUCAUUAAGUUGGGCACUCUAGAAGGACUGCCGGUGACAAACCGGAGGAAGGUGGGGAUGACGUCAAAUCAUCAUGCCCCUUAUGUCUUGGGCUACACACGUGCUACAAUGGGCAGUACAGAGGGUCGCGAGACCGCGAGGUUUAGCCAAUCCCAUAAAGCUGCUCUCAGUUCGGAUUGCAGGCUGCAACUCGCCUGCAUGAAGUCGGAAUCGCUAGUAAUCGCAGGUCAGCAUACUGCGGUGAAUACGUUCCCGGGCCUUGUACACACCGCCCGU